This 253-nucleotide ribosomal RNA is filed under the name uncultured bacterium. RNAcentral's name for it is "partial 16S ribosomal RNA". It matches the Rfam family "Bacterial small subunit ribosomal RNA", at positions 524 to 776 of the family's 1533-position model. The record is from RNAcentral.
UACGAAGGGGGCGAGCGUUGUUCGGAUUUACUGGGCGUAAAGGGCGCGCAGGCGGUCAUUUUUGUCGAGUGUGAAAGCCCCGGGCUUAACCUGGGAACUGCGCUCGAAACGGGAUGACUAGAGAUCGGGAGAGGAGAGUGGAAUUCCCAGUGUAGAGGUGAAAUUCGUAGAUAUCAGGAGGGACACCGGUGGCGAAGGCGGGACUCUGGGCCGAUACUGACGCUGAGGAGCGAAAGCGUGGGGAGCGAACAGG